AACGAACGCUGGCGGCAGGCCUAACACAUGCAAGUCGAACGCCGUAGCGAUACGGAGUGGCAGACGGGUGAGUAACGCGUGGGAACAUACCCCUCGGUUCGGAAUAACUCAGGGAAACUUGAGCUAAUACCGGAUACGUCCAAGGUUUUAAUCGACCUUGGAGAAAGAUUUAUCGCCGGAGGAUUGGCCCGCGUCUGAUUAGCUAGUUGGUGAGGUAACGGCUCACCAAGGCGACGAUCAGUAGCUGUCUGAGAGGAUGAUCAGCCUCAUUGGGACUGAGACACGGCCCAAACUCCUACGGGAGGCAGCAGUGGGGAAUAUUGGAC
Molecule: ribosomal RNA, 326 nt
Filed under: uncultured bacterium
Lineage: Bacteria
Description: bacterial SSU rRNA
Rfam family: Bacterial small subunit ribosomal RNA
Source: RNAcentral